AACGAACGCUGGCGGCAUGCCUAACACAUGCCAGUCGAACGAGACCUUCGGGUCUAGUGGCGCACGGGUGCGUAACGCGUGGGAACCUGCCCUUAGGUUCGGAACAACUCCCCGAAAGGGGUGCUAAUACCGGAUAGUGUCUUCGGACCAAAGAUUUAUCGCCUUUGGAUGGGCGCGGGUUGGAUUAGCUAGUUGGUAGGGUAAAAGCCUACCAAGGGCACGAUCCAUAGCUGGUCUGAGAGGAUGAUACGCCACACUGGGACUGAGACACGGCCCAGACUCCUACGGGAGGCAGCAGUAGGGAAUAUUGGACACUGGGCGAAAGCCUGAUCCAGCAAUGCCGCGUGAGUGAUGAAGGCCUUAGGGUUGUAAAGCCCUUUUACACGGGAUGAUAAUGACAGUACCGGGAGAAUAAGCUCCGGCUAACUACGUG
Molecule: ribosomal RNA, 433 nt
Filed under: uncultured bacterium
Lineage: Bacteria
Description: partial 16S ribosomal RNA
Rfam family: Bacterial small subunit ribosomal RNA
Source: RNAcentral